Molecule: ribosomal RNA, 253 nt
Filed under: uncultured bacterium
Lineage: Bacteria
Description: partial 16S ribosomal RNA
Rfam family: Bacterial small subunit ribosomal RNA
Source: RNAcentral
GACGAGCCUCACGAACGUUAUUCGGAAUUACUGGGCUUAAAGGGUGCGUAGGCGGCGCGGAAAGUAGGGUGUGAAAUCCCUCGGCUCAACCGAGGAACUGCGCUCUAAACUACCGUGCUCGAGGGAGAUAGAGGUAAGCGGAACUUAGGGUGGAGCGGUGAAAUGCGUUGAUAUCGAUAGGAACUCCGGUGGCGAAGGCGGCAUACUGGACCACUUCUGACGCUGAGGCGCGAAAGCCAGGGGAGCAAACGGG